GCGGUGGCGGCAGUUCUGGGCUCUCAGCGCGCUCGGCUCCGGCGUGAGGGCCCCGCGGCGGAACAGGUGCCAGGCUCACUGCCCCAGCGAAUAAAUGAGUGAUCCAGAGGACACGGCAUCUCGAAACCAGUCUCCACGGCACGUCCUGACUCCGGAAACAAAGCUUUAUUGGUAACAGCCGAAAGAAAGAAAGAAAGAAAGAAAGAAAGAAAGA
Long non-coding RNA from Panthera uncia (snow leopard), 214 nucleotides. RefSeq lists it as uncharacterized. The record is from RefSeq and is a predicted model, not a curated record. Lineage: Eukaryota; Metazoa; Chordata; Mammalia; Carnivora; Felidae. The transcript has 3 exons.